AUUUACUUAGUAUAUAAAGUACAUUUAACUUCCAAUUAAAAAGAUUUGAACAUUCAAAGUAAAUA
Molecule: transfer RNA, 65 nt
Filed under: Turanogryllus eous
Lineage: Eukaryota; Metazoa; Arthropoda; Insecta; Orthoptera; Gryllidae
Description: tRNA-Gly
Source: RNAcentral